UACGAGGGGGGCAAGUGUUGUUCGGAAUCACUGGGCGUAAAGGGAGCGUAGGCGGAUGUUUAAGUUGGAUGUUUAAAACCGGGGCCCAACCUCGGAGCGGCAUCCAAAACUGGGCAUCUUGAAUAGGUCAGAGGCUGGUGGAAUUGGAGGUGUAGCGGUGGAAUGCGUAGAGAUCUCCAAGAACACCUAUUGCGAAGGCAGCCAGCUGGGACCAUAUUGACGCUGAGGCUCGAAAGCAUGGGGAGCAAACAGG
RNAcentral lists this ribosomal RNA (253 nucleotides) under uncultured bacterium. Its description in RNAcentral is "partial 16S ribosomal RNA". It matches the Rfam family "Bacterial small subunit ribosomal RNA", at positions 524 to 776 of the family's 1533-position model. The record is from RNAcentral.